This 1470-nucleotide ribosomal RNA is filed under the name metagenome. RNAcentral describes it as "bacterial SSU rRNA". It matches the Rfam family "Bacterial small subunit ribosomal RNA". The record is from RNAcentral.
AGAGUUUGAUCCUGGCUCAGAACGAACGCUGGCGGCGUGGAUAAGACAUGCAAGUCGAACGAGAGAAUUGCUAGCUUGCUAAUAAUUCUCUAGUGGCGCACGGGUGAGUAACACGUGAGUAACCUGCCCCCGAGAGCGGGAUAGCCCUGGGAAACUGGGAUUAAUACCGCAUAGUAUCGAAAGAUUAAAGCAGCAAUGCGCUUGGGGAUGGGCUCGCGGCCUAUUAGUUAGUUGGUGAGGUAACGGCUCACCAAGGCGAUGACGGGUAGCCGGUCUGAGAGGAUGUCCGGCCACACUGGAACUGAGACACGGUCCAGACACCUACGGGUGGCAGCAGUCGAGAAUCAUUCACAAUGGGGGAAACCCUGAUGGUGCGACGCCGCGUGGGGGAAUGAAGGUCUUCGGAUUGUAAACCCCUGUCAUGUGGGAGCAAAUUAAAAAGAUAGUACCACAAGAGGAAGAGGCGGCUAACUCUGUGCCAGCAGCCGCGGUAAUACAGAGGUCUCAAGCGUUGUUCGGAAUCACUGGGCGUAAAGCGUGCGUAGGCUGUUUCGUAAGUCGUGUGUGAAAGGCGCGGGCUCAACCCGCGGACGGCACAUGAUACUGCGAGACUAGAGUAAUGGAGGGGGAACCGGAAUUCUCGGUGUAGCAGUGAAAUGCGUAGAUAUCGAGAGGAACACUCGUGGCGAAGGCGGGUUCCUGGACAUUAACUGACGCUGAGGCACGAAGGCCAGGGGAGCGAAAGGGAUUAGAUACCCCUGUAGUCCUGGCAGUAAACGGUGCACGCUUGGUGUGCGGGGAAUCGACCCCCUGCGUGCCGGAGCUAACGCGUUAAGCGUGCCGCCUGGGGAGUACGGUCGCAAGAUUAAAACUCAAAGAAAUUGACGGGGACCCGCACAAGCGGUGGAGUAUGUGGCUUAAUUCGAUGCAACGCGAAGAACCUUACCUGGGCUUGACAUGUAAUGAACAACAUGUGAAAGCAUGCGACUCUUCGGAGGCGUUACACAGGUGCUGCAUGGCCGUCGUCAGCUCGUGUCGUGAGAUGUUUGGUUAAGUCCAGCAACGAGCGCAACCCCUGUUGCCAGUUACCAGCACGUGAAGGUGGGGACUCUGGCGAGACUGCCCAGAUCAACUGGGAGGAAGGUGGGGACGACGUCAGGUCAGUAUGGCCCUUAUGCCCAGGGCUGCACACGUACUACAAUGCCCAGUACAGAGGGGGCCGAAGCCGCGAGGCGGAGGAAAUCCUAAAAACUGGGCCCAGUUCGGACUGUAGGCUGCAACCCGCCUACACGAAGCCGGAAUCGCUAGUAAUGGCGCAUCAGCUACGGCGCCGUGAAUACGUUCCCGGGUCUUGUACACACCGCCCGUCACAUCAUGGAAGCCGGUCGCACCCGAAGUAUCUGAAGCCAACCGCAAGGAGGCAGGGUCCUAAGGUGAGACUGGUAACUGGGAUGAAGUCGUAACAAGGUA